This 240-nucleotide unclassified non-coding RNA is filed under the name soil metagenome. RNAcentral describes it as "partial contains 5.8S ribosomal RNA, internal transcribed spacer 2, and large subunit ribosomal RNA". The record is from RNAcentral.
AACGCACGAGACCUGCGGACCUGCGGAAGGAUCAUUAAUGAGAAGCUGCCCCUCGUGGGUAGACCUCCCACCCUCUGUGAACUUACUUUUGUUGCUUUGGCAGGCCCGUCCUCUGGACCGCCGGCUUCGGCUGGCCCGUGCCUGCCAGAGGAUUCCAAACCCUGUCUGUCAGUGUUGUCUGAGUCUAUAUGAAAUCGUUAAAACUUUCAACAACGGAUCUCUAGAUCGGAAGAGCACACG